CCUUGUUCAGAAAAUUCUCAAUUACAGCUUCUGGGUACUGAACUGUAACUGCACAGUCUCAACAGCUUCCUUGAUUCAAACGCCUCCGAUUACCCACUUUCAAAAUGCACACCAGUCAUUACCCAGCAACCUUGAAUUCCUAACAAGUUUAUGGUCCAAGGAACAUUUAAAAGGUGCAGAAUUUAUACCACAGAAAAUAAAAGUUCCUUCUCAGAAUUUCGGACUUCCUUCUCUUUGGUGAGAUGCGUCCCUGACCGUUCUGUGCCUUGCUGUUUCCAGAACGUGAUCUCCUUUGAGGCUUUUUGGGCAGAUACUGGAAUGAUCUCCAUUCUUUCUCCAGCUCGUUUUACAGAUCAGAAGCAGCUGAAGGUGGAAAUGGAAUCACGGAGGGGUAAGUGUGGACUUGUUGGGAAGAACCUUCCUUACGAUGAGACGCAGACCCGGCUGCCCCAAGAGUGGAGGUUUUCUAGCAGAGGCUGACCUGUCCCAGGGCGUUUCCCAUGAGCUGCAGAGGUCCCAUCUACCCCUCUGGAAUUCCUUCAAGGAGGAAUCAUGGACAGCACUUAGCACAGAGACAACCAUAGACUCGUGGUCCUUGACCCAAUCCCCAAGAGAGAGUGGAAAGGGAAGAGAGCACAAGAGCGAGCCAUGGGGCCUACGCACAUGAGGGGACCGGACACGGAUAACGGCCCGGCACACAGGAAUUCAGAAGUGCUCAAAAGGAUUUGAAAAGGUAGAAGAGACCUCAGUUCUGUGAAAACUCCAACCAAUGCCACCUCCUGCUCCAAGCCUUUCCUGAUACUCUCCCAUUAGUUAGCAAUGCUUGUAUUUUGUCUAUUCAUCUGGACAGAGCUUGUUUCCCCCCAUCAGGAUGUGGGCUUCUGAAGGGUUCUGCUUGUUCCGUCCCCUGCCCCAUACAUCCACAUGUAGUGGGUUUGCUGAAUUACGCUCUUAAAACUCAAGGGUUUCACCAAUGUGGUGUUAUAUAGAGACAAGAUAGCCUGUUUGGGAAUAAAUUCUCAACCUAGUCUAGACGUACAACCCUGACACAAUGGAAAGAGAACUGUGACAUACACAUACUUUGGAAGAUACACAGUUCUUUGUGAGAAUUUUGCGAGAAUUUGGCUAGCAAAUAGCAUUAUUUAAAAAUCAGCCAGUUUUGAGUCACUAGGUAGCAAAGAGUGAACUUUAGUUCUAAUACCUUUAUAUCAGCUUAUUUGUUGUAACUAGUCACCAAGAAAACUUCAUUUUUUUUUUUUUUUUGCUGAGGCAAUUGGAGUUAAGUGACUUGCCCAGGGUCA
Sarcophilus harrisii (Tasmanian devil) is the source of this 1301-nucleotide long non-coding RNA. RefSeq lists it as uncharacterized. The record is from RefSeq and is a predicted model, not a curated record. The transcript is spliced from 3 exons. NCBI's taxonomy places the organism in Eukaryota, Metazoa, Chordata, Mammalia, Dasyuromorphia, Dasyuridae.